GAAGGGAAGGAUUUGGGGAGGGGACUUUCCACACAGCCAUGAAGGAGUCAUCGUGCAUGCUGGGUGCUUUAAGGUCAUGAGUGCUCCUUCACCCAUUGCUCGGCACCCAGCAAGGGGGAAUUCCCCCACACCAAACGUGGAGGAGGCAAGGACGCAACACCCCGCCCCCCCGCGGUGGCUGGGACUCUCGAGGCAGGCCAAAGUCCCACACCAAGGUUGCGCUCAGGCCCCCUUUUCUCCACAAGUGCCUUCCGCAACCUGAGAAAGCGUCCCUGAGAAGCUGCCCCAGUGGGGUGAACUAGGGAAAGAAAGGGGCACGCUGCACGACCGUCUUCCUUCACCAACACAGUGCCGGCUGCCCUGAGUGUCAGCACCCAAAAUUGUCUCCUCCUUGCUCUACCUGUGGGAAGACCAUCCCUCUCCACAGGGGCCACGCCUGCCCUGCUAGUGGAAGAGAACGCCCUUAUUCCUAAACAUGCAAUGUUAAUGGCAACACAGACUCCCCAGUCCCUCUUCUACAAUUCCAGAUAUCUCCAGGCCCUGAAAAGGUUUCCCCAUAACUUAUUUAGCAAACCCUGGCCUAAGUAGACAUGAGACUGCCUGUAGACCUCCCCCCCCACACACUUUGGGUGAAUAUCCCAUGCUUUCAGGGGGGAGGUAACCCUGUGUUUGAUCAUGGCAUUAUCCCAACCUUGCUGAAUUAUCGAUGGCAUUAGAAUAUGUAUCGUAUUAUUUUUCUUAAAGUCCAGAAACAGGAAUUCUGUGACACAUGGUCACAUUUCUGUUGCGCUCUGACAAGCCUGCCUUCACCAGCCCUGAGCAUUGGGAUCACCGGAUACCAGAGGCUGUGCUGAGUGCUCAGCAGGCUUCAGUUCCUUUGACCCCAGCAGCUCUGUUUAUUUCCAAGUGGUCGAUGGAGAAACUGAGGAACCUUACUGGAGUCACAUUAGUUAACUAAGAGAUACUGCCGUCUUGAAUCCAGGGAGCUGGGGACUUCCGGAGCCAGUUAUAUCUGUUCCUGCCUACUGGGGGCAACUGGAGACCCCCAGAAGCAGCCCAGAGUGCCAGCCUGCUCAGAUUGAACCUGUCCAGCCCACCCGGGAGGAGCUUAGCACAGAAGUUCCCAUGGAAAGUUUGAGAUUUCAUGGAAUUGAAACCAGAUAGCUCC
Molecule: long non-coding RNA, 1168 nt
Organism: Mesocricetus auratus (golden hamster)
Lineage: Eukaryota; Metazoa; Chordata; Mammalia; Rodentia; Cricetidae
Exons: 3
Source: RefSeq, a predicted model, not a curated record